This 280-nucleotide ribosomal RNA is filed under the name uncultured bacterium. Its description in RNAcentral is "partial 16S ribosomal RNA". It matches the Rfam family "Bacterial small subunit ribosomal RNA", at positions 28 to 323 of the family's 1533-position model. The record is from RNAcentral.
GGUGAACGCUGGCGGCGUGCUUAAGACAUGCAAGUCGAACGCGGUCUUCGGACCGAGUGGCGCACGGGUGAGUAACACGUAACUGACCUACCCAGAAGUCACGAAUAACUGGCCGAAAGGUCCGCUAAUACGUGAUGUGGUGAUGCACCGUGGUGCAUCACUAAAGAUUUAUCGCUUCUGGAUGGGGUUGCGUUCCAUCAGCUGGUUGGUGGGGUAAAGGCCUACCAAGGCGACGACGGAUAGCCGGCCUGAGAGGGUGGCCGGCCACAGGGGCACUGAG